UACGGAGGGUGCAAGCGUUAUCCGGAUUCACUGGGUUUAAAGGGUGCGUAGGUGGGUAUGUAAGUCAGUGGUGAAAUCCCCGAGCUUAACUUGGGAACUGCCGUUGAUACUAUAUAUCUUGAAUAUCGCGUAGGUAAGCGGAAUAUGUCAUGUAGCGGUGAAAUGCUUAGAUAUGACAUAGAACACCAAUUGCGAAGGCAGCUUACUUCACGAUUAUUGACACUGAGGCACGAAAGCGUGGGGAGCAAACAGG
Molecule: ribosomal RNA, 253 nt
Filed under: uncultured bacterium
Lineage: Bacteria
Also listed under: 1 other name
Description: partial 16S ribosomal RNA
Rfam family: Bacterial small subunit ribosomal RNA
Source: RNAcentral